Molecule: ribosomal RNA, 497 nt
Filed under: uncultured bacterium
Lineage: Bacteria
Description: partial 16S ribosomal RNA
Rfam family: Bacterial small subunit ribosomal RNA
Source: RNAcentral
GAUGAACGCUGGCGGCGUGCCUAAUACAUGCAAGUCGAGCGAACAGAUAAGGAGCUUGCUCCUUUGAAGUUAGCGGCGGACGGGUGAGUAACACGUGGGUAACCUACCUAUAAGACUGGGAUAACUUCGGGAAACCGGCGCUAAUACCGGAUAACAUUUAGAACCGCAUGGUUCUAAAGUGAAAGAUGGUUUUGCUAUCACUUAUAGAUGGACCCGCGCCGUAUUAGCUAGUUGGUAAGGUAACGGCUUACCAAGGCGACGAUACGUAGCCGACCUGAGAGAGUGAUCGGCGACACUGGAACUGAGACACGGUCCAGACUCCUACGGGAGGCAGCAGUAGGGAAUCUGCCGCAAUGGGCGAAAGCCUGACGGAGCAACGCCGCGUGAGUGAUGAAGGGUUUCGGCUCGUAAAACUCUGUUAUUAGGGAAGAACAAAUGUGUAAGUAACUGUGCACAUCUUGACGGUACCUAAUCAGAAAGCCACGGCUAACUACGUG